CCGCUUUUCCAUAAAAUAAGAAAGAGAGAGAGAGAGAUAGAAGAGGAGGAUAGAGAAGAUGAAUCUCACAGUCGUCGUGUCUUCUUCCUCUCCCUCUCUGCCGUCGUUGUUCUCAAGUUUGAGAGCAUAUGGGCAGGCGGUGGUGACACACCCCAGUGGUUGCGGCGGCGGGCUGGGUCUGUGACAAGGAGGCACCCGUCAUCCCUCCUUCCUCCGCCCGCCCCUUUGACGACGACGACUACCAGCCCUACAACUCCUACUCCUCCUAUUUUGUUGACUCUAGAAGAGGUUGCAGGCUUCUAAGAGGAGACGAUAGAGGUAGAAUCCUCUACUCUACCGUUGCUGUACAACGUCCUCUUGUUUGUCUAUGCUGCCAUAUAAAAGAGAGAGAGAGAGGGGCUAAGAGUAGAACAUUGAUCGAAAUGGAUCAGAAUCUGUCAGCGAGGAUGUCGGGCAACUACAUGGCGGACCUCCUCCCAUGGCCAAAUGAGCCAGCGAAGGAGCGAUUGCCGACCCUCCUCCUGCUGGAGCUUCAAGUCGACAGAUAGGAUCAGUCCGACCAUGUUCGGCAUGCCCAUGACUAAGGAGGAGGCCAAGAUAGUGAACAAGAGAUAGAUUCAAGUCAAAUUUGAUCAAAAUUGCUAUGAGAAACUUGAGCUCAAAAAUUCUCUUUUGCCAAAGAACAAUUUGCUAAACUAGUAGUGGAUGUUGUGUUAAGGUUGAAGGCCACGAUGAACGAUAUGGUUGAUAUGAAGAAGUGCACAAAAGCGAAUAGCCUCAUUUAUGCUGGGUGCAAUGGGAACAGAGGUGAGACAGAUGAUGAGAUUGGAUGCCUCGAUAAUUGAGCAACCUCGGAAUACUGACAGCAACAAAGGAUCUUGGAUUUGGAUCUAUUUGAACCAAAUUUGUGAUCGAAUAAGAGUUUAAACGAGAAGAUCAAGCUGCGGAGUAUUAUGGACCGUUCAUCAAAGAUUGGAUAUAUCUGAACCAUCAAGUGAAGAUCUGGUCAAUCCGACCUAAGGGAGAGUAGAUCCGGACCCUAAAUCAAGAUCAGCACCUUCGGAUCGGAUUUUAAGUGACUUUCCACCGUUGAUCAAGCUCCAAAUCAAUUUUAGCCAUCCGUUCAGAUCUGGAUGUGAUUCAAAACAGAGAAGCUACAGUGUUUUCUCUUCGUUGAUUCCUCCGUACUGUGCUUCGCGUCCCGCGGCGAGCUUCUUCCGGGAUUCCAACCCCAUCUCCACUUCAGAUCCAUUUUCCGGCUAACUUCAUCGGCGACGAUGUUCUCAGAUGCUUAUGACUAGCUUCUGGUGAUCUGACCUCGCUCCAAGGUGUUCCUACGGCGAGAAUUGUGUCUGUGAACCUUUGCUCUGUCGCGAUCGAUUUGGUGGCGUUCCUCCAAUCGGUGGUUCUGCUUCCAUCAGUGAGCAUUGGCGACGUUCCUCCACUGCUACUAGAUCAUUCCCAACGACAUUCCAUCCAUCAUCUUCUCCACAUCAGAUCUGAGGUUGCAGCUCACAGAUUGUCAGAUUUCUUGAGGUUGGCAGCUCUGAUCUUCAUCAGUUUCGCUUGGAGAGGUGUCCGGUGAAUCGGGUAAAGGUUUAGCUGAGUUUAGCUACUGAGAUUGUCUUUAACGAUUGCUAAAGUGAGGUUUCACUGAUGUUUCCUUGUGUGACGACAAGGAGAAGUUGCCAUGAGAAGUGAUUUGGUGUUGAGAUGGUUUAAGGUUUAAUUUUUACAUUCUUUUACUGUUGAAAGAUUUAGAUUUCAGUUUAUAUUAUUUGGAUUCAGUAAUCAUAGUUAUUUUUAGCUUAAGUGUUUUAAUUCAAGUGUUUUUGGUAAUUUAGUUUCAAUUGAUGUUUGAAAUUGUUCUUAAUUCUAAUUUAGCUUAAUUUGUUGCACUGUUGAGAAGUUUAGUUUCUAUAGUUAGGAUUUAAAUUUUUCUUUAGAUCGUAUUCAUUUAUGUCUUGUUGUUCAUUCUUAGUUUAAGUGAGUGUUGAUGGUUUAAUCACAACGUAAGGUGACAAUGCGUUAUGGUUUGAUUAUUGGCACCUAGUUAGGUUUUCUUUAUGCAUUAGAAUAAUUUCUUAAUUGUUGUGCUUUCAUUUGUUAGAUUUAAAUUCAAAGUCUAAACUCCCCCAUUUAUAUAUUAAAAUUACAAAAAUAGGAAUAACUAACAAUCCUAUAUUACAUCUUACCCGUAGUUCCUCGAGAGAUCGAUCCUGGGCUUGUUAUUACAAUAUUAUUGUGCAGUUAAGGGGUUCAGUGAAUAUAUAUUGUUAAUUUGUUUUACGAGUGUGACAGACUUGUUAUCAAAUUUUGGCGUCGUUGCCGGGGAAUACGUUGUUUGAUAAUCUUAGGAUUGCUCUUUAUUUGGAAAACUUUAAAAUUUUUGUUGUUUUGAUUGCUUUCAUGAUUAUAUAUCCAUCUGUUUGAUUUUAUUUGUUCCUGGGUCUUCUAAUUUUAUUUGCUAGUAUU
This is a long non-coding RNA of Zingiber officinale, 2475 nucleotides long. RefSeq lists it as uncharacterized. The transcript is spliced from 7 exons. The record is from RefSeq and is a predicted model, not a curated record. Lineage: Eukaryota; Viridiplantae; Streptophyta; Magnoliopsida; Zingiberales; Zingiberaceae.